This 253-nucleotide ribosomal RNA is filed under the name uncultured bacterium. RNAcentral describes it as "partial 16S ribosomal RNA". It matches the Rfam family "Bacterial small subunit ribosomal RNA", at positions 524 to 776 of the family's 1533-position model. The record is from RNAcentral.
UACGAAGGGGGCUAGCGUUGUUCGGAAUUACUGGGCGUAAAGCGCGCGCAGGCGGUCUUCCAAGUCAGUGGUGAAAGCCCGGAGCUCAACUUCGGAACUGCCAUUGAAACUGUUAGACUUGAGGACGAGAGAGGUGAGUGGAAUUCCCAGUGUAGAGGUGAAAUUCGUAGAUAUUGGGAAGAACACCAGUGGCGAAGGCGGCUCACUGGCUCGUUUCUGACGCUCAGGCGCGACAGCGUGGGGAUCAAACAGG